This 94-nucleotide microRNA precursor is filed under the name Myotis lucifugus (little brown bat). Its description in RNAcentral is "miRNA (ENSMLUG00000029222.1)". Lineage: Eukaryota; Metazoa; Chordata; Mammalia; Chiroptera; Vespertilionidae. The record is from RNAcentral.
AUAUUCCAUUAUAUAUAUGUAUAUGUGUGUGUGUGUGUGUGUGUGUGUGUGUGUAUACACACACACACAACAUUUGGGUUAUCCAUUCAUCUGU